AGAGUUUGAUCAUGGCUCAGGAUGAACGCUAGCGGCAGGCCUAAUACAUGCAAGUCGAGGGAGAAGUUUGGUGCUUGCACUGAAUGGGAACCGGCGAACGGGUGCGUAACACGUAUGCAACCUACCUAUAACUGGGGAAUAGCCCGAAGAAAUUCGGAUUAAUACCCUAUAAUAUUUAGUCAUCGCAUGAUGAUUAUCUUAAAACUCCGGUGGUUAUAGAUGGGCAUGCGGCCUAUUAGUUUGUUGGUGAGGUAAUGGCUCACCAAGACUACGAUAGGUAGGGGGUCUGAGAGGAUGAUCCCCCACACUGGUACUGAGACACGGACCAGACUCCUACGGGAGGCAGCAGUAGGGAAUAUUGGACAAUGGACGAAAGUCUGAUCCAGCCAUGCCGCGUGCAGGAUGACGGCCCUAUGGGUUGUAAACUGCUUUUAUAAAGGAAGAAACCUUUUUACGUGUAGAAAGCUGACGGUACUAUAUGAAUAAGGACCGGCUAACUCCGUGCCAGCAGCCGCGGUAAUACGGAGGGUCCAAGCGUUGUCCGGAUUUAUUGGGUUUAAAGGGUACGUAGGUGGAACUUUAAGUCAGUGGUGAAAGCCUCCAGCUCAACUGGAGAAUUGCCAUUGAAACUGAAGUUCUUGAAUAUGGGA
This 650-nucleotide ribosomal RNA is filed under the name uncultured bacterium. Its description in RNAcentral is "bacterial SSU rRNA". It matches the Rfam family "Bacterial small subunit ribosomal RNA", at positions 8 to 653 of the family's 1533-position model. The record is from RNAcentral.